GAUGAACGCUGGCGGCGUGCAUAACACAUGCAAGUCGAACGGAGCGCUUAUGACGGAGACUUCGGUCAACUGAUUAGGUUGCUUAGUGGCGGACGGGUGAGUAACGCGUGAGUAACCUGCCUUUCAGAGGGGGACAACAGUUGGAAACGACUGCUAAUACCGCAUGGUACAGCAAGAAAAGGAGCAAUCCGCUGAUAGAUGAGCUUGCGGCUGAUUAGCUAGUUGGUAAGGUAAUGGCUUACCAAGGCAACGAUCGGUAGCCGAGCUGAGAGGCUCUUCGGCCACAUUGGGACUGAGAUACGGCCCAGACUCCUACGGGAGGCAGCAGUGGGGGAUAUUGGACAAUGGGGGCAACCCUUAUCCAGCGACGCCGUGUGAGGGAAGAAGGUUUUCGGAUUGUAAACCUCUGUCAGUGGGGACGAUAAUGACGGUACCCACGGAGGAAGCCACGGCUAACUACGUG
Molecule: ribosomal RNA, 463 nt
Filed under: uncultured bacterium
Lineage: Bacteria
Description: bacterial SSU rRNA
Rfam family: Bacterial small subunit ribosomal RNA
Source: RNAcentral